RNAcentral lists this long non-coding RNA (568 nucleotides) under Capra hircus (goat). Its description in RNAcentral is "lncRNA (ENSCHIG00010026867.1)". Lineage: Eukaryota; Metazoa; Chordata; Mammalia; Artiodactyla; Bovidae. The record is from RNAcentral.
AGCAGAACACCUCGUAUAAAGAAAUCUUCCCAAGAGGAAAGGCCAAGGCGCACUCCGCCUGGAGUCCCCAUUCACAGCUUUUGGGGUUCUUCUCUUCACCAAGUUCUUACAAGAGUCCACCAGGCUCCUGCUGUUCUUGGCCCAUCGCCCCUCUUCAGAGCACCCGCAAGGCCACCAAAGGGGGUAUUUAAACGACCUAAGAACCAAUACCGAGAAUCUAAGGGCCCUCAAAGCGAAGCUUGGUCUCUGCUUUUUCUGGAAGCAGAGAGGGAAGGAGAGACAUCCCCUGGGAAGAGGUUUACCGCUCUUUGAGGUACCAGGCCUCAGAGUUGUUCCCUCUUUUAUCUUCUGUCUCCAGUUGGACAGCCGCAGGCCCCUGGCCCCGGAACAUCACACAUCCAAACCAGUACCUAGCACCCUUUUCAGGUGCUCGGCAAGCACAGCCUUACCUUGCACGGCCUUUUCCUGGUCGGUGCGGCUGGCCAGCGGAGCGGGCAAGCUUUGCGCGGCUCCCAACAGCCGCAUUUUGCACGGGCUCCUCCGGCCCAGGAUGCUGUCGAUGCAGUAA